Molecule: ribosomal RNA, 397 nt
Filed under: Streptococcus sp. oral taxon E14
Lineage: Bacteria; Bacillati; Bacillota; Bacilli; Lactobacillales; Streptococcaceae
Description: bacterial SSU rRNA
Rfam family: Bacterial small subunit ribosomal RNA
Source: RNAcentral
GAUGAACGCUGGCGGCGUGCCUAAUACAUGCAAGUAGAACGCUGAAGGAAGGAGCUUGCUCUUUCCGGAUGAGUUGCGAACGGGUGAGUAACGCGUAGGUAACCUGCCUGGUAGCGGGGGAUAACUAUUGGAAACGAUAGCUAAUACCGCAUAACAGUAGAUGUUGCAUGACAUUUACUUGAAAGGUGCAAUUGCAUCACUACCAGAUGGACCUGCGUUGUAUUAGCUAGUUGGUGAGGUAACGGCUCACCAAGGCGACGAUACAUAGCCGACCUGAGAGGGUGAUCGGCCACACUGGGACUGAGACACGGCCCAGACUCCUACGGGAGGCAGCAGUAGGGAAUCUUCGGCAAUGGACGGAAGUCUGACCGAGCAACGCCGCGUGAGUGAAGAAGGU